This 400-nucleotide ribosomal RNA is filed under the name uncultured bacterium. RNAcentral describes it as "bacterial SSU rRNA". It matches the Rfam family "Bacterial small subunit ribosomal RNA", at positions 356 to 773 of the family's 1533-position model. The record is from RNAcentral.
AACGAAUCUUCCGCAAUGCACGAAAGUGUGACGGAGCGACGCCGCGUGUGGGACGAAGUCCUUCGGGAUGUAAACCACUGUCAGGGGUUACCACGUUCUGAGGAGCCCCAGAGGAAGGCACGGCUAACUCUGUGCCAGCAGCCGCGGUAAGACAGAGGUGCCAAGCGUUAGGCGGAAUCACUGGGCUUAAAGCGUGUGUAGGCGGAUCGUUAAGUACCUUGUGAAAUCCCACGGCUCAACCGUGGAACUGCUCGGUAUACUGGGUGUCUUGAGCCACUUAGGGGCUACCGGAACAAAUGGUGGAGCGGUGAAAUGCGUAGAUAUCAUUUGGAACGCCAAUGGUGAAAACAGGUAGCUGGGAGUGUGCUGACGCUGAGACACGAAAGCCAGGGGAGCAAAC